Molecule: ribosomal RNA, 253 nt
Filed under: uncultured bacterium
Lineage: Bacteria
Description: partial 16S ribosomal RNA
Rfam family: Bacterial small subunit ribosomal RNA
Source: RNAcentral
UACGUAGGGUGCGAGCGUUAAUCGGAAUUACUGGGCGUAAAGCGUGCGCAGGCGGCGCGUUAAGACAGGUGUGAAAGCCCCGAGCUUAACUUGGGAAUUGCGCUUGUGACUGGCGUGCUGGAGUGUGGAAGAGGGAGGUGGAAUUCCACGUGUAGCAGUGAAAUGCGUAGAGAUGUGGAGGAACACCGAUGGCGAAGGCAGCCUCCUGGGCCAGCACUGACGCUAAUGCACGAAAGCGUGGGGAGCAAACAGG